This 365-nucleotide ribosomal RNA is filed under the name Marinobacter adhaerens. Its description in RNAcentral is "bacterial LSU rRNA". It matches the Rfam family "Bacterial large subunit ribosomal RNA", at positions 1 to 407 of the family's 2925-position model. The record is from RNAcentral. Lineage: Bacteria; Pseudomonadati; Pseudomonadota; Gammaproteobacteria; Pseudomonadales; Marinobacteraceae.
GUUAUAUAGUCAAGCAACUAAGCGCAUACGGUGGAUGCCUUGGCAGUCAGAGGCGAUGAAAGACGUGGAAGCCUGCGAUAAGGUUCGGGGAGCUGGCAAACGAGCUGUGAUCCGGACAUCUCUGAAUGGGGAAACCCACCGACUUUCGGGUCGGUACCUUACACUGAAUCCAUAGGUGUAAGGGGCGAACCGGGGGAACUGAAACAUCUAAGUACCCCGAGGAAAAGAAAUCAACCGAGAUUCCCUAAGUAGCGGCGAGCGAACGGGGACUAGCCCUUAAGCUAGACAACUGGUAGGAGAAGGCUCUGGAAAGUGCCGCCAUAGUGGGUGAUAGCCCCGUAUCCGAAACCUGAGUCUGGUGAAAU